Schistosoma mattheei is the source of this 46-nucleotide non-coding RNA. The record is from Rfam. Lineage: Eukaryota; Metazoa; Platyhelminthes; Trematoda; Strigeidida; Schistosomatidae.
AUCCAGCUGACACAUCCCAAAAUAGGACGAAACGUGCGUCCUGAAU